This 253-nucleotide ribosomal RNA is filed under the name uncultured prokaryote. RNAcentral's name for it is "partial 16S ribosomal RNA". It matches the Rfam family "Bacterial small subunit ribosomal RNA", at positions 524 to 776 of the family's 1533-position model. The record is from RNAcentral.
UACAGAGGGUGCGAGCGUUAAUCGGAAUAACUGGGCGUAAAGGGUGCGUAGGUGGUUUGUUAAGUCUGCUGUGAAAUCCCCGGGCUCAACCUGGGAAUGGCAGUGGAUACUGGCAAGCUAGAGUGCGGUAGAGGGUAGUGGAAUUCCCGGUGUAGCAGUGAAAUGCGUAGAUAUCGGGAGGAACACCAGUGGCGAAGGCGGUUACCUGGGCUUGUUCUGACGCUGAGGCACAAAAGCUGGGGGAGCAAACGGG